This 95-nucleotide microRNA precursor is filed under the name Dipodomys ordii (Ord's kangaroo rat). Its description in RNAcentral is "mir-346 microRNA precursor family". It matches the Rfam family "mir-346 microRNA precursor family". The record is from Rfam by way of RNAcentral. Lineage: Eukaryota; Metazoa; Chordata; Mammalia; Rodentia; Heteromyidae.
GGUCUCUGUGUUGGGCGUCUGUCUGCCCGCAUGCCUGCCUCUUUGUUAGUCUGAAGGAGGCAGGGGCUGGGCCUGCAGCUGCCUGGGCAGAGCGG